UCGGAAGGCAGCGGGGGGAAUAUUGCACAAUGGGCGCAAGCCUGAUGCAGCCAUGCCGCGUGUAUGAAGAAGGCCUUCGGGUUGUAAAGUACUUUCAGUCGUGAGGAAGGUGUUAAGGUUAAUAACCUUAGCAAUUGACGUUAGCGACAGAAGAAGCACCGGCUAACUCCGUGCCAGCAGCCGCGGUAAUACGGAGGGUGCGAGCGUUAAUCGGAAUUACUGGGCGUAAAGGGCACGCAGGCGGUUAAUUAAGUUGGAUGUGAAAUCCCCGGGCUUAACCUGGGAAUGGCAUUCAAGACUGGUUAGCUAGAGUCUUGUAGAGGGGGUAGAAUUCCAUGUGUAGCGGUGAAAUGCGUAGAGAUGUGGAGGAAUACCGGUGGCGAAGGCGGCCCCUGGACAAAGACUGACGCUCAUGUGCGAAAGCGUGGGGAGCGAAACAGGGAUUAGAUACC
RNAcentral lists this ribosomal RNA (452 nucleotides) under uncultured bacterium. Its description in RNAcentral is "bacterial SSU rRNA". It matches the Rfam family "Bacterial small subunit ribosomal RNA", at positions 341 to 786 of the family's 1533-position model. The record is from RNAcentral.